CACGUAGGGCGCAAGCGUUGUCCGGAAUUAUUGGGCGUAAAGAGCUCGUAGGCGGUCUGUUGCGUCCGCUGUGAAAACUCGGGGCUUAACCCCGAGCCUGCAGUGGAUACGGGCAGACUAGAGGUAGGUAGGGGAGAAUGGAAUUCCCGGUGUAGUGGUGGAAUGCGUAGAUAUCGGGAGGAAUACCGAUGGCGAAGGCAGGUCUCUGGGCUGACACUGACGCUCAUGCACGAAAGCGUGGGAGCAAACAGG
This 252-nucleotide ribosomal RNA is filed under the name uncultured bacterium. Its description in RNAcentral is "partial 16S ribosomal RNA". It matches the Rfam family "Bacterial small subunit ribosomal RNA", at positions 524 to 776 of the family's 1533-position model. The record is from RNAcentral.